UUCCUGAUCUGAACCACCAAUAUCCAAAGAAGUCAUAAAGAAUGUACUAGAACUCCUGGGCAACAAGGAUCCAAUGACAGCAAAGAACUUAAUCAAUAUGAGUAAAGGGAAAGUACUGGAGAAAUUAAAGGGACUAAAAGCCAACAAAUCUAUCUCCUGGACCAGAUAGACGACUGCAUCCUAGAGCUGAAAGGAAAAUGGCUGUACUGAUAACAGGUGCAUCACUGGUAAUCUUCCAAAGUUCCCUGGAAUAUGGAUUAGAAAGUGACACGCGUUACACGACUACUUGUGAAAGGACGGAGAAAGAAAACUGAGAACUUCAGGCCAGUCAGCUGUCAUGAAAAUACUAGAAUCUGUUAUUAAAGAGUUGGGCCAACAGGACCUGGAGCACCAGGGGCACCAGGAGCACCAGGGGCACCAGCAGGACCAGUCUGACCUCGCUCACCCUGUUAGGAAGAAACACAAAGUCAUCACCAACCAUUCACCAAUCAACAGAAG
Molecule: long non-coding RNA, 498 nt
Organism: Pristis pectinata (smalltooth sawfish)
Lineage: Eukaryota; Metazoa; Chordata; Chondrichthyes; Rhinopristiformes; Pristidae
Exons: 3
Source: RefSeq, a predicted model, not a curated record